UACGUAGGUGGCAAGCGUUGUCCGGAAUUAUUGGGCGUAAAGCGCGCGCAGGCGGUCCUUUAAGUCUGAUGUGAAAGCCCACGGCUCAACCGUGGAGGGUCAUUGGAAACUGGGGGACUUGAGUGCAGGAGAGAAAAGUGGAAUUCCACGUGUAGCGGUGAAAUGCGUAGAGAUGUGGAGGAACACCAGUGGCGAAGGCGACUUUUUGGCCUGUAACUGACACUGAGGCGCGAAAGCGUGGGGAGCAAACAGG
Molecule: ribosomal RNA, 253 nt
Filed under: uncultured bacterium
Lineage: Bacteria
Description: partial 16S ribosomal RNA
Rfam family: Bacterial small subunit ribosomal RNA
Source: RNAcentral